CGUCCGCCUCUAUGUUUACAAGUUUUUUGAUACAUCCCGUUCUUAAAAAUGUAUUUGGCAAUUUUUCUCUUUUUAAGACUUAAUUUACGUGUAUAUAUACACUUUUCACCUAUUUAUUGUUUCAGAUAAAGGAUUCCCAUCUUGUUCCUUAUCCUGCUUAAUUGUGCACAUCCUUUAGCUCUAAGCCUGUGAAAUAUCUUUUUUAUACUUUAAUUUGUUAUUGUAUCCAAGUUUUUAGCUAAAACACUAUUAGAGCCAAUAGUAUUCUUAUAACUGCUUAAUCUGCAUUUAAAUAAAUGAAUACUUGUAUUUAUG
Molecule: long non-coding RNA, 315 nt
Filed under: Mytilus galloprovincialis (Mediterranean mussel)
Lineage: Eukaryota; Metazoa; Mollusca; Bivalvia; Mytilida; Mytilidae
Source: RNAcentral